GCAGAAAAAUACAUUUUAUGGCUCCAGUAAUUUAAGAAAGCUCUGAAAAAUCAAAUCUGUCCAUGGGAGUGCUAGCAUACUGUCUGUUAGAUUAAAUGAAGCUGUAAGCAUCUUUGAAGUACAAAUGAUACUUGGAAAGUAAAUGAAGCUGGG
RNAcentral lists this long non-coding RNA (153 nucleotides) under Gorilla gorilla gorilla (western lowland gorilla). RNAcentral's name for it is "lncRNA (ENSGGOG00000044366.1)". Lineage: Eukaryota; Metazoa; Chordata; Mammalia; Primates; Hominidae. The record is from RNAcentral.